CGGUGAGCGCUCCGGAACAAGGAAGCGCUGCCGGCCUGGAAUCGCAACCCCUUUUUCACGGCGUUUUUGAGAGCUAGGAUGCUGCCAAGUUUUUCCACCUGUUCUUUCCUUCCCCAUCCAUGAGAAAGUCUCCCAGGAGAGGAAUUACCACGGUCCAGUGCAGCCACAAGCAGGUUAAAAAGAAGGAUCCCAGUCCUGCUGCUGAUGGGUCUCCAGACAGCUUGGGUGUAACUUUCCACUUGGAUGUUCACAGUGUUUGGGAUACAGGCACAGUGAGCAAUAGAGAUGCUCAGCAACCUGGGAGGAGCUGCUCUGCAAUCUGACUGCCAGCCCUGUGCUGUGGCCUCAGCUCAGCGCCUCCCCAGGGUGGGUGAGAUACGUCUGAGCCCCGAGUCCAAAGUUUUGGAUGAAACAGCUUUCCUCAAUUUGAUGCCUCAACCUGCAGUUUAAACCUCUAUCCCCACUGGCAGACCCUCAGCCAGUCCGGAGCUGCCUGCAGUCACUGUAAUAAUGCCAACCAGAGAAGCCUUAAUCCUUUAGUGAAGGAUAACUGCAGGUCUCUGCUUUUAUUCCAUCUGCUGAUCUAAGGGAAAAACCUCGUCCCCUUCAUGGCUGUUGAAGGAAGGGAAUCUGACUCAUAAAGAAACAUAAAGUGCAAUUGAGUUCCCACUUACUUCAGUGGAAGAAUUGAUGUGCCCAAGGUCAGAGAGAAAGUCGAUAGCGGAGCUGGGGAAAAGAAGCAGGAGUUUUGAAGCCAGUGCCUUUCAUGCAGCCACCAGACAGCCCUCCCUUUGCUGAGCGAUCCAAGCCCAAGGCCAAAUAAAUCUCCAGCGUAAUCCCAAUUGUCAGGAGGCAUGUGGUCUCCUGAGGCACCAGACGUGUGUGAGAACAUGGAGAUGAGAGCUUUGAUGUGCCUUUGAGAGAACACUGGAAGAAACAGAGCAGAUACGGGAACUUCUCCAAUGGGAUGAACAGCUCUGAGAAGCAGCCUGGAGGAUACAUACAUGAUGGACCAUGCACUCCUGAGCCUGGCACAGCCUUCGGGGAGGGAGAUGCUCUGGCAAUGGGGAUGCAGCCUCUGACACCACCUAAAACAUGGUGUGUCAGCUGCUUCGUAACACAGCUCUUCUUGUCCUCUAUGCAGAUCUGCUUUCCUGCAAAGAGAACAAAGACAUCGUUUGUCCAGAGAAAGGUUUCUUCCAUCAAGCUCAGACACAUCCUGAAAGAAGUGCAUGAAGACUUGCAUGAGUUGGUGAUUGUGGAGACACUAAAAAGGUGAUGCUCACCAUGUCCUCUCCUGUUGGAAGCAGUAGCCUCAAAAUCCGCCCCCUCACCACCAUCCAAAGCCUCAAGCUAAGUAAGAGCAAUGCCAGGGCAGAUGGCUGCACAGCAGGGCUCUCAGCGUCACUGCUCACUCUUCCCCUACAUGCCCUGUCCUGCUCAGCAGUUUUCCCAUGAACUUAUCUGAGCGGCACUCUUUGCUUUGUGCUAUGAAAAUCAAAGAUGAGGUGUCCUGAAUGAAAAGCUCACAGUUACCACGAGGUCUGCCUCUCAAUGCGCUGGGAAUAGAAAUGUGGCAAUCAGACUUUGGGAUGAAAUCAUAUUGGACAUGCUGGCUUAAUCUCUAAAGUAUGAAAUUGUAAGGAAGGAAUUACAGCUAAAAAACAUUUCACAUUUUAGAAAGCUUCUCUGACCCAUGCUGGAUCAGGAGAGAGAAGGAAAAGAGGGUAAAAAAAAAAAAAAACCAACAACCCCAAACCUGUGGAAUUCAAAUGACUGUAGCCAUUUGGGUUAGAAAAAAUCCAUCAUCAAAUAAACAGACUCCU
Molecule: long non-coding RNA, 1826 nt
Organism: Gallus gallus (chicken)
Lineage: Eukaryota; Metazoa; Chordata; Aves; Galliformes; Phasianidae
Source: Ensembl